AGUGAACGCUGGCGGUAGGCCUAACACAUGCAAGUCGAACGGCGGCACAGUAAGAGCUUGCUCUUACGGGUGGCGAGUGGCGGACGGGUGAGGAAUACAUCGGAAUCUACUUUUUCGUGGGGGAUAACGUAGGGAAACUUACGCUAAUACCGCAUACGACCUACGGGUGAAAGCAGGGGAUCUUCGGACCUUGCGCGAUUGAAUGAGCCGAUGUCGGAUUAGCUAGUUGGCGGGGUAAAGGCCCACCAAGGCGACGAUCCGUAGCUGGUCUGAGAGGAUGAUCAGCCACACUGGAACUGAGACACGGUCCAGACUCCUACGGGAGGCAGCAGUGGGGAAUAUUUGACAAUGGGCGCAAGCCUGAUCCAGCCAUACCGCGUGGGUGAAGAAGGCCUUCGGGUUGUAAAGCCCUUUUGUUGGGAAAGAAAAGCAGCAGGUUAAUACCCCGCUGUUCUGACGGUACCCAAAGAAUAAGCACCGGCUAACUUCGUG
RNAcentral lists this ribosomal RNA (492 nucleotides) under uncultured bacterium. RNAcentral's name for it is "partial 16S ribosomal RNA". It matches the Rfam family "Bacterial small subunit ribosomal RNA", at positions 29 to 507 of the family's 1533-position model. The record is from RNAcentral.